CGACAACUGUUGCCUCGCAGCCUGUUGAGAGACCUGGAUGAACACACACCCCUGAGAGACAGUGACCUUCCAAGGGAAGGAUGGAAAGUAGUUGGCAACGCCCUGGGUACAAAUAUCAUAUUUGUUCACUUGUGGAGAGACCUACCCAGAGACCACUCAACUUUUGAAUUGAGCCUAUGCCUAAGAGUGAAUUCUGUUGAAGAGUUACAUGAGUGGCUUCUAAAGACUACAGACACUGGAGUGACAUGGAGGGUCAGCAUAACAAGACCCAGGAAAGGACAUACAAUUAUUUUCAAGACAUGGCCACCUUCUUGGAGGAACAAACAAGGCAGUCCAUCAAGGCUUGUGUCAGCCAUCCAUUACUUUGGGAAGUCUCACAUCAGCCCAGCGGCCAACAGCGCAGCAGCACUCCGAAGAGCUGCCAGACGACCAGGCCCUAUUAAUUUCCUGUCAGCCUACAGCUGUUGCCCGUCGUUCCACGAAGGCUGGUACAAAACGGCGUCUCACGACUGGACGACCAAAAAGCCAGAACAGUGGCUCUGAGCACCCAUACUGUUCACAUGCUAAAAGGAAAAGGCCAUCAGAAAUUAGACAUCACAAGUUGUCUGACUCAGUGUAUGCAAAUAGUUCUCACCCAAAGUGAAUAAAGCAC
Long non-coding RNA from Coregonus clupeaformis (lake whitefish), 652 nucleotides. RefSeq lists it as uncharacterized. The transcript is spliced from 3 exons. The record is from RefSeq and is a predicted model, not a curated record. NCBI's taxonomy places the organism in Eukaryota, Metazoa, Chordata, Actinopteri, Salmoniformes, Salmonidae.